This 460-nucleotide ribosomal RNA is filed under the name uncultured bacterium. RNAcentral's name for it is "partial 16S ribosomal RNA". It matches the Rfam family "Bacterial small subunit ribosomal RNA", at positions 338 to 795 of the family's 1533-position model. The record is from RNAcentral.
CCUACGGGAGGCAGCAGUGAGGAAUAUUGGUCAAUGGACGAGAGUCUGAACCAGCCAAGUAGCGUGAAGGAUGACUGCCCUAUGGGUUGUAAACUUCUUUUAUAUGGGAAUAAAAUGUUCCACGUGUGGGAUUUUGUAUGUCCCAUAUGAAUACGGAUCGGCUAACUCCGUGCCAGCAGCCGCGGUAAUACGGAGGAUCCGAGCGUUAUCCGGAUUUAUUGGGUUUAAAGGGAGCGUAGGUGGAUUGUUAAGUCAGUUGUGAAAGUUUGCGGCUCAACCGUAAAAUUGCAGUUGAAACUGGCAGUCUUGAGUACAGUAGAGGUGGGCGGAAUUCGUGGUGUAGCGGUGAAAUGCUUAGAUAUCACGAAGAACUCCGAUGGCGAAGGCAGUUCACUGGACUGCAACUGACACUGAGGCUCGAAAGUGUGGGUAUCAAACAGGAUUAGAUACCCUUGUAGUC